AAGUCGUAACAAGGUAACCGUAGGUGAACCUGCGGUUGGAUCAUUAUUGAAAAAUAUGAUUUAAUUCAUGAAAUUUUGCUUUGUUGCUUUCUUUGUCCCUAAAAAGACAAGAGCUCAACAAUGCAUUACCCCAAAAUUAAAGUCUUUAAGGGUAAAAGUGUAUGCUUUUACUUUUAAACUUUAUCUUUUCAUGUAUUUGGAGUGGUGUUGGCAACAACCUGCUCCUACUAUUAUACAAACAUUGAUUUAGUUUUUUAUUUUAAAUCGCUCAUAUCUCUUUACAGAGAUAUUCGAGUUAGAACAUAAAAACAUAAACAACUUUUGACAACGGAUCUCUAGGCUCUC
RNAcentral lists this unclassified non-coding RNA (345 nucleotides) under fungal sp. RNAcentral describes it as "partial internal transcribed spacer region". The stretch from base 1 to 46 matches the Rfam family "Eukaryotic small subunit ribosomal RNA", at positions 1786 to 1831 of the family's 1831-position model. Lineage: Eukaryota; Fungi. The record is from RNAcentral.